GUCUCUGUAGUGCAGUGGUCAGCAUAUCUGUUCGUACGAACAGGAAGACGUGGGUUCGACUCCCGUCAGAGAUA
RNAcentral lists this transfer RNA (74 nucleotides) under Aureobasidium pullulans EXF-150. It matches the Rfam family "tRNA". From Rfam's summary of the family: Transfer RNA (tRNA) molecules are approximately 80 nucleotides in length. Their secondary structure includes four short double-helical elements and three loops (D, anti-codon, and T loops). Lineage: Eukaryota; Fungi; Ascomycota; Dothideomycetes; Dothideales; Saccotheciaceae. The record is from Rfam by way of RNAcentral.